This 492-nucleotide ribosomal RNA is filed under the name uncultured bacterium. RNAcentral's name for it is "partial 16S ribosomal RNA". It matches the Rfam family "Bacterial small subunit ribosomal RNA", at positions 30 to 507 of the family's 1533-position model. The record is from RNAcentral.
AGUGAACGCUGGCGGUAGGCCUAACACAUGCAAGUCGAACGGCAGCACAGUAAGAGCUUGCUAUUACGGGUGGCGAGUGGCGGACGGGUGGGGAAUACAUCGGAAUCUACUUUUUCGUGGGGGAUAACGUAGGGAAACUUACGCUAAUACCGCAUACGACCUACGGGUGAAAGCAGGGGAUCUUCGGACCUUGCGCGAUUGAAUGAGCCGAUGUCGGAUUAGCUAGUUGGCGGGGUAAAGGCCCACCAAGGCGACGAUCCGUAGCUGGUCUGAGGGGAGGAACACCCACGGGGAGGCUGGAACGCGGUACAGAGCCCGAGGGAGGGCACAGGGGGGGAAGGGUGGAAGAGGGGGGCAAGCUUGAACAACCGGUGCCGGGCGGGUGAAGAGGGCCUGCGGGUGGUAAAGCCGUUUUGGGGGGAAAAAAAAGUAGCAGUUGAAACCCCGCCUUUUCUGACGGUACCAAAAGAAUAAGCACCGGCUAACUUCGUG